GGAUGGUCAAGAGAGUGAUGGGGGUGGGGGAAACCUAUGGGUUCCGAUUUUUUUCCAAACCAGCUGCAGCACUGGGGAGGGGGAGGAGUGUGGGGGUAGACCCAGGGUGCAGGGCACCCCGGAGCCAAACACUAUUCAUGCAUCCUGGGUUGGUGAGAUGGAGGAAGAGGGGGGGAUGUCGGGAGUACGGAUGGUGUUCUCACCGGUAGAUAUGGAGCAGGGGAGCAUCGGGUGAGUCUCUUGUUUUUUUUUUUCUGUCUGGGUUUAGAAUUUGAGUGUAUUACAUGUUUUUAUUUCAUUCUUUCAUGGGGUCUAAUUUUACUUUUGUUAGUUUAAAUGUAAGGGGUUUAAGGGAUUUUGUUAAGAGGAGGGUGUGGGGUUUGAUUUUUGUUUUUUUACAGGAGGUUCACCUGAGGGAUGGAGGGGAUGUUAUUAGGUUUAAGAGGGAGUGGGACAAGGGGGAGUCGGUUUGGGGUAUUGGGGGGGUGCACUCAUCGGGGGUAGGGAUUUUGUGUGGGCACAGGGAGGUAAAAGUGGAGGAUUCUUUUGUGGUAAUGCAGGGGAGGGUUAUAGGGGUGGAUGUCACGAUAAGGGAUUGUAAAUUUAGAUUAGUGGUGGUGUAUGGGCCAAAGGUGGUGGCUCGACUAUAUUUUUGUACCCAGGUCUUUGGGUAAGUUGUCUGGGAGGCUGUUGCCUGUUUUCUUUUCGGAUCACGACGGGGUGCUCCUGCAGGUGGGGUCGCCAGUCUGCCUCUUUGGUAGGGGGUACUGGAAGAUAGAUCGGGAUGUGCUGGAGGAGCAGGCUUUUGUUGACGGGUUUUAUGGUUUCUUUUGGAGGCUUGAAGGCCUCUGGUCCAUGUGCGAGGGGGUGUUAGAGUGGUGGGAAUUAGUUAAGGUGAGGAUUAGGGCUUUUAUAAUAGGGUAUUGCAAGAGGAAAAAAAGGGAGGAGAGGAGGAAGGUGGAUCGUAUCCAAAGGUUAAUUGAACUCGAGUACGAGGCAGGCAACCUCGGCGGGUCGUUUGACUGGGAGAGAUCCGCAACCCUAAAGGCGCAGCUCAGGGAGAUGCAGGAGCAGAAGGCUCGAGCUUUCCUGGAGCGUGCGCAUAGUGGCUUUCUAGAACACAAUGAGACUUGUUCUGCUAUGUUCUUUAAGUCGGUUAGGGCCAGACAGAGUAGGAAGGUAAUGCAUGGCGUUAGGGAAGAAAAUGGUAGUAUAGUUAGAGAACCAGAGGAUAUGGUCAGGGUGACAACUGAUCAUUUCCAAGGUUUAUUUAAGGAAAGGGAAAUAGAUGUAGAGCAGGGAAAUGUGUUUUUAGAACACUUGUCCAGGCGGUUGCCGGAGGACAUUAGAGAAGUGAUGGAGGCCCAGAUUUCACUAGAAGAGGUUGAGAGCGCUCUUAGGAGGAUGGGAAAAGGGAAGGUGCCUGGAAUGGAUGGGCUGCCGGC
Long non-coding RNA from Oncorhynchus tshawytscha (Chinook salmon), 1445 nucleotides. Lineage: Eukaryota; Metazoa; Chordata; Actinopteri; Salmoniformes; Salmonidae. The record is from Ensembl.